RNAcentral lists this long non-coding RNA (290 nucleotides) under Castor canadensis (American beaver). RNAcentral's name for it is "lncRNA (ENSCCNG00000006606.1)". Lineage: Eukaryota; Metazoa; Chordata; Mammalia; Rodentia; Castoridae. The record is from RNAcentral.
CCAGACCCUCAUGGCUAUCUUCUUUGAGAUUGAUAUGUGCCCAGCCUAUUACCAGCAAGAGUAUCUACACAGACAGCUCCAUGGGAUGGUGGAAGAAGCACUUCACUGCCUUUUUAAUAACAUCUUCUUUGUGAAGUUUCCCUUAUCCUUCCAAGUUUCACAUAUGGAUGACCUGGCUAGACAAAAGAAGGCUAAAGCAUGUUUUAUUCAAGUGCUUCAGGAGGUGGGUACUUUUGCUACAUACCAUUAACUCUUAAUAUUUGAGAUGGCAUAUGCUCAUUUUAAUCAUA